Molecule: long non-coding RNA, 1091 nt
Organism: Aegilops tauschii subsp. strangulata
Lineage: Eukaryota; Viridiplantae; Streptophyta; Magnoliopsida; Poales; Poaceae
Source: RefSeq, a predicted model, not a curated record
UUCUCCCGCCCGUAACAAAAUCUUCCCAAAAUUUCAACCUUGAGAAACCCUAAAGCAAUCCCUCACUCCAUAUUCCAUAAGCGGUGGCGGCGCCUUCCCCUCCGAGACUCCGAAUCUCCACCUAGCUCUGCAUCUCUGCUUCCAUAUUUUCUUGCGCCGCCCCUUUUCAGAUCUAUUUGGUGUCAAUCAUCCUUCUCAGUUCUCACCAUACCAAUCCAUCUGGUUGCCCCUCAUCGGAUUGGAAUUUGGAUCUUCUGUCAAUAGUGCAGGGGAGGGAUUAGUGGAUCCUCGAUGGACAGCCGACGAAUCCACAUGAACAUCCUCUGCACCUGCCCCUUCCACACGGAGAUCAUCUUCAGGCAUGGAAGGUACAUACACAUCGGAGGAUUCAGAAGUACAAACAUGUGCUACCUGCUAAUAACUUCGGUUCCUUAAUUACUAUUGAUUUCAUUGGAAGUCUUUCCCAUCCCACAUGUGUUUCCAAGGAUCUUCUAAGGCCAUGAGGCCUAUGGGUAAGUUCCUCAGGUUCUGCUGCCGAUGAGUACGUGAAGGCAGCCGGGUACAACGAUGAAGGUAAGAGAUUUAACGAACACACAUACUCUUCAAUUUGGGCUGUGGUGCGUGCAGGGUGGUGAAGAGCUUGCCGGAGUAUACAGAGGGGUUCGUGGUUGGGGGACACACUAGCGCCCAAGUCCGUCGGUAGUGCGACUCGUGCAGCAGUAGAGCGUUAGAGUGGAACAAUGCCUGCUCUGUGCUGCCAUUGCUCGUCGGCCCCAGGAUGCUCCGCGACCGCACUACCCAGUUCAGGGACAGCCAAGGGGCGCUGCUCCUCGUCGUGUUACAAAAAAAUUGAUUUGUUCCAGACUUCCAGGUCAAUGUUAUUGGCACUGAACCUAGCUAACUACUAGUACUUAGCAGGCUAGUUUUGCUAUGAGAUAAACUGAUAUGCAGGGCUCAGAUGCUGAUUGCAAGGUCGAGAAUGAAGCUGCUACUAGAUAGUUCCACAUAAUGUUUUAGAUGUUUUUUGCCAGAUCAAUGCUUCAAACAGUAUAUAUUAAAUAGAAUAAGUAAGAUGUUGAUUGCAAGGUCAA